UAGGGAAUCUUCCACAAUGGACGCAAGUCUGAUGGAGCAACGCCGCGUGAGUGAAGAAGGGUUUCGGCUCGUAAAGCUCUGUUGUUAAAGAAGAACGUGGGUAAGAGUAACUGUUUACCCAGUGACGGUAUUUAACCAGAAAGUUCACGGCUAACUACGUGCAAG
RNAcentral lists this ribosomal RNA (165 nucleotides) under uncultured bacterium. RNAcentral describes it as "partial 16S ribosomal RNA". It matches the Rfam family "Bacterial small subunit ribosomal RNA", at positions 355 to 511 of the family's 1533-position model. The record is from RNAcentral.